This 460-nucleotide ribosomal RNA is filed under the name uncultured bacterium. RNAcentral's name for it is "partial 16S ribosomal RNA". It matches the Rfam family "Bacterial small subunit ribosomal RNA", at positions 338 to 795 of the family's 1533-position model. The record is from RNAcentral.
CCUACGGGUGGCAGCAGUGAGGAAUAUUGGUCAAUGGGCGGAAGCCUGAACCAGCCAAGCAGCGUGCAGGAUGACGGCCCUACGGGUUGUAAACUGCUUUUAUACGGGAAUAACGCGCCUUACGUGUAGGGCUUUGCAUGUACCGUAUGAAUAAGGACCGGCUAAUUCCGUGCCAGCAGCCGCGGUAAUACGGAAGGUCCGGGCGUUAUCCGGAUUUAUUGGGUGUAAAGGGAGCGUAGGCCGCAUGUCAAGCGUGCUGUGAAAGGUCCGGGCUCAACCCGGGCCUUGCAGCGCGAACUGGCGUGCUUGAGUCCGGGGAAGGCAGGCGGAAUUCGGGGUGUAGCGGUGAAAUGCUUAGAUAUGACGAAGAACCCCGAUUGCGAAGGCAGGUUGCUGCAGCGGAACUGACGCUGAUGCUCGAAAGCGCGGGUAUCGAACAGGAUUAGAUACCCUGGUAGUC